RNAcentral lists this ribosomal RNA (411 nucleotides) under uncultured bacterium. RNAcentral's name for it is "bacterial SSU rRNA". It matches the Rfam family "Bacterial small subunit ribosomal RNA", at positions 28 to 441 of the family's 1533-position model. The record is from RNAcentral.
GACGAACGCUGGCGGCGUGCCUAACACAUGCAAGUCGAGCGAAUGAAGUUCCUUCGGGAAUGGAUUUAGCGGCGGACGGGUGAGUAACACGUGGGCAACCUGCCUCAUAGAGGGGAAUAGCCUUCCGAAAGGGAGAUUAAUACCGCAUAAGAUUGUAGUACCGCAUGGUACAGCAAUUAAAGGAGCAAUCCGCUAUGAGAUGGGCCCCGCGGCGCAUUAGCUAGUUGGUGAGGUAACGGCUCACCAAGGCGACGAUGCGUAGCCGACCUGAGAGGGUGAUCGGCCACAUUGGGACUGAGACACGGCCCAGACUCCUACGGGAGGCAGCAGUGGGGAAUAUUGCACAAUGGGGGAAACCCUGAUGCAGCAACGCGCGUGAGUGAUGACGGCUCGGUGUAAGCUCUGUCUUCA